This 622-nucleotide ribosomal RNA is filed under the name Triticum aestivum (bread wheat). RNAcentral describes it as "partial small subunit ribosomal RNA". Lineage: Eukaryota; Viridiplantae; Streptophyta; Magnoliopsida; Poales; Poaceae. The record is from RNAcentral.
CUUCGCUCCCUCGUCUUCCCAGCGCCGCCACACGCAACACACACACACACACACGCAGACGCGCAGAGGGGAGGCUCCUCUGCUCGAUCCCCUCCUCCCGGUGCACCCUCACCUCAACCUGCGCCUCCGGCCCUCACCAAGUCGACGACCGCUCCUUUCUUGCGCCGCCUUGUCGCGUCGAGCCUCGGAGCAGCUCCUUCCCCGCGCCCCUGAUCGACCUCUCCGUGGUCCUUGGACGUGGGCUAUCGCCUGCCUCUAACGCCCGCCUCGACCACCAUCGCUACCCUGAGACUGCCGGAGACCCCCAGUACAACUACGGUGUUGACGACCCGUCCUUCUUGCCAGAGCAACCAGAUGUUUGAGCCCAGGAGCCAGACGCCACCGUCGAUGAUGACUACUACUACUUGGGAGGUGCCUACUACUACGUGCAGCCCGCUGACGACGACCAGGAGUAUUUUAGGAGGAUCCCAGGCAGGAGGCCUGUGCCUCUUUUGAUCUGUAUCCCAGUUUGUGCUAGCCUUCUUAAGGCAAACUUGUUUAACUUAUGUCUGUACUCAGAUAUUGUUGCUUCUGCUGACUCGUCUAUGAUCGAACUCCUGUAUUCGAGCCCUCGAGGCCCCUG